Molecule: long non-coding RNA, 1332 nt
Filed under: Anas platyrhynchos platyrhynchos (common mallard)
Lineage: Eukaryota; Metazoa; Chordata; Aves; Anseriformes; Anatidae
Description: lncRNA (ENSAPLG00000025078.1)
Source: RNAcentral
UUCCUGUUGUGGUGGAAUAAUGACACGAAGAAAGGAGCCAGGCUGAACACUGUGAAGAAAAGUUAAAGUGCCUGCAUUUCAAGCGCUUUGAAUUUCAGAAUGAAUGCAUUAAGAAUUUCUCCAAGAAUGAACUGCACCAAAACCUGGACCAAAAUCUGCAGAGCACUGAGCCCUCUCCUCACCUUUUCACGUGGCUCAGCAUUCAGCAUCUCAGGUCUUUUCUUAUAGCAUUGAUGGACGGUCAGAGAGACAAAGCUCCCCAUGAAGACAUCUCUGCUAAGCUUUCCAGGCAGGCAGCAGGUCAGCUAAAACUGGGAUCCAUAUCAGUGUAGCUAAUUUGGUGGUUUUGUAAUUUAUACUGAAACGAGGCCAUCUUCCACCACCAUUUUCCUUCUCUCCCUCUUGUAUAAACUGUCUUAUAAAGUCAGUCACUGCACCAAGCCCAUCAGAGUUUAAGAAACAUUUGGGACUGUGCUCUUUCUUAGUUAUAUGGUCUGAAUUUUUGGGUAGACCUGUGUGGUGCCAGGAGUUGGACUUGAUGAUCCUUAUGGGUCCCUUCCAACUCCGGAUAUUUUAUGAUUCUAUGAUUCUAUUAUUCUAACCCCUUUACUGUGAAGGAAGUAAAAUGUAAUACUUACUGGUUUUCGUUAGUAAUGAAUAUCCAUGUGGUUAGCUGUAUUAUGGUAGCGCCCAGACAACAGUUUGCACUCCCCCCCUACUCACAGUAUGUACUCAGGCUGUGUACACACUUGUAACACGCUGUCCUGGCCUCAAAUUGCUUCCAGGUUAGGUCAUCUUCCAGCCCAUUUCCCCUGAUUUUUCUCCUUCAUGUUUUAUUGGCCUAGUAGAAAUUAGCCACAAAUCCAGCCUGGUUUUAGUGUCUUUUGCACUCAUUUGUUCCAACUGUUGUACCCCCUGAAAUCUUCCUCUCUCAGAUAUACAAUUUAUUCCCACUCAUGACAGGCAUGCUCAUGAAUUAUUUAUACUGCUUUUGUAACUUCUACUCUGCAAAUAAUGAAAGAAUCAAAUGUUUCUAGUGUAGGAGUCAUAAUAAGUAAGAAAUCCAGUCAAGCUGGUGGGCAAGAAGGUGGGAAAAUGGCCCAAGUUAAAAACACAUUGCUUUUGAACAACUGAGGAAACAUCACAAGGGCCAUUCAAAGCAAUCUUCUACCCUCAGAAAUGCUGCUGAGCAGCUAAAAUUAGGAGCGGAUACCCUGCAAUGACCAAAGAGGCUUUUAUUUAACCAGUUUGCAUCCUGCAUGCAGGACAAUUUUUUUGGCAGGCUGAGGGUCACAUACCUGUACAGCUGCCCCAUCUAUUAAAUCUGACAAG